Molecule: ribosomal RNA, 166 nt
Filed under: Gigantochloa parviflora
Lineage: Eukaryota; Viridiplantae; Streptophyta; Magnoliopsida; Poales; Poaceae
Description: 5.8S ribosomal RNA
Rfam family: 5.8S ribosomal RNA
About the family: 5.8S ribosomal RNA (5.8S rRNA) is a component of the large subunit of the eukaryotic ribosome. It is transcribed by RNA polymerase I as part of the 45S precursor that also contains 18S and 28S rRNA.
Source: RNAcentral
AAUACACCUCUCUCUCACCAACGUAUAUCUUCUCUCUUCCAUGAAUGAAGAACCGGAAGAAUGCCGACCGGGUGUGAAUUGCUCAAUCCCAACCAACCAUGUCGACUUUGAACGUUGUUGCGCCCGAGGCCCCCCGGCCAAGGGCACGCCGGCCUGGGCGUCACGC